CGCAAAAUUUAAGCUCUGGUAAUAGAUGUAUACACAGGAUGUUUAAUGUCACCUGGUUGCUUUUGGUUUGCACGACUACCUGACACUAUAUUGUUAUGUAACAUUACAACCCAAGUCAGAGUUCACCUGUUCUGUAAAGGGGUGAAAUUUUAAAGGUAUAGAAUAUUUAUCUAUAUUAAUUUUCGGGCAUUGGUUUUUUUCUCAUGGGAUGAAAACAUUUUUUGUUCUAAAA
Molecule: long non-coding RNA, 232 nt
Filed under: Mytilus galloprovincialis (Mediterranean mussel)
Lineage: Eukaryota; Metazoa; Mollusca; Bivalvia; Mytilida; Mytilidae
Source: RNAcentral